CCUACGGGAGGCAGCAGUGAGGAAUAUUGGUCAAUGGACGAGAGUCUGAACCAGCCAAGUAGCGUGAAGGAUGACUGCCCUAUGGGUUGUAAACUUCUUUUAUAUGGGAAUAAAAUGUUCCACGUGUGGGAUUUUGUAUGUACCAUAUGAAUAAGGAUCGGCUAACUCCGUGCCAGCAGCCGCGGUAAUACGGAGGAUCCGAGCGUUAUCCGGAUGUAUUGGGUUUAAAGGGAGCGUAGGUGGAUUGUUAAGUCAGUUGUGAAAGUUUGCGGCUCAACCGUAAAAUUGCAGUUGAAACUGGCAGUCUUGAGUACAGUAGAGGUCGGCGGAAUGCGUGGUGUAGCGGUGAAAUGCUUAGAUAUCACGAAGAACUCCGAUUGCGAAGGCAGCUCACUGGACUGCAACUGACACUGAGGCUCGAAAGUGUGGGUAUCAAACAGGAUUAGAUACCCUAGUAGUC
RNAcentral lists this ribosomal RNA (460 nucleotides) under uncultured bacterium. Its description in RNAcentral is "partial 16S ribosomal RNA". It matches the Rfam family "Bacterial small subunit ribosomal RNA", at positions 338 to 795 of the family's 1533-position model. The record is from RNAcentral.